CCUACGGGAGGCAGCAGUGGGGAAUAUUGGGCAAUGGGCGCAAGCCUGACCCAGCAACGCAGCGUGAAGGAAGAAGGCUCUCGGGUUGUAAACUUCUUUUCUCAGGGACGAAGCAAGUGACGGUACCUGAGGAAUAAGCCACGGCUAACUACGUGCCAGCAGCCGCGGUAAUACGGAGGCGGCAAGCGUUAUCCGGAUUUACUGGGUGUAAAGGGCGUGUAGGCGGGAAAGCAAGUCAGAUGUGAAAACCAUGGGCUCAACCUGUAGCCUGCAUUUGAAACUGGUUUUCUUGAGUACUGGAGAGGCAGACGGAAUUCGUGGUGUAGCGGUGAAAUGCGUAGAUAUUAGGAGGAACACCAGUGGCGAAGGCGGUCUGCUGGACAGCAACUGACGCUGAGGCGCGAAAGCGUGGGGAGCAAACAGGAUUAGAUACCCUUGUAGUC
RNAcentral lists this ribosomal RNA (443 nucleotides) under uncultured bacterium. Its description in RNAcentral is "partial 16S ribosomal RNA". It matches the Rfam family "Bacterial small subunit ribosomal RNA", at positions 338 to 795 of the family's 1533-position model. The record is from RNAcentral.